Molecule: long non-coding RNA, 749 nt
Filed under: Physcomitrium patens
Lineage: Eukaryota; Viridiplantae; Streptophyta; Bryopsida; Funariales; Funariaceae
Description: long non-coding RNA (PPAT_LNC004393)
Source: RNAcentral
CUAAAUCCUAAACCAAAUCCUAAAUAAACCCUAAAUCCUAAAUCAAAUCCUAAACAAACCUUAAAUCAAACCUUAAAUCCUAAAAAAAAUCCUAACCAAAUUCUAACCAAAUCCUAAACCCUAAACCAAACCCUAACCAAAACCUAUCCCUAAAUCAAAUUCUAACCAAAUUCUAAAUCCUAAACCAAACCCUAAUCAAAUUCUAAAUCCUAAAUCAAAUCCUAAUCAAACCCUAAUAAUUUCUACAACAGAUUUAAACCUCAAUAAUUAAUGAAUGAAUCAUUGAUCUUAACUCAAAAUUUGCAUACUUUUUAAAAAAUAAGUUAAAAAUAAGCACACAAAUUUUGAAAAGGAUCGGAAUUAUAAAAUAGACCAUAACCUCAAAAACGUACUCGGGUAUUGGUCGGCCUCCUUCUUCAACCUUAAUGCCAAUCUUCCAAAGCCAAUAUCUCUCUUUUUUACCGUUCGAUUGAUCUCAAAAUUCUCAUACACAUAGAAAAACAAGUCUAAUAUCCUUUCACACAAAUGUCACUUCAAUCCAACUAGUAGAUUGCAAGAAAUCUCAAAAAUCCUCACUAGACCUAAAAUUCUACUUUCUGAGAUCUUGACUCACUUAAACCUCAAUAACCCUCAAUUCAAAUGUUAAAUCGAGCUCAAAUUUACAACACAUAUUAAAAAAAACUAUAACCUUUAAUCCACAAAAUUUCACUUGUAGAUUUAUUACAAAACUCUUGAAAUCAUCCAAACCC